UACGAAGGGGGCUAGCGUUGUUCGGAAUCACUGGGCGUAAAGCGCACGUAGGCGGAUUGUUAAGUCGGGGGUGAAAUCCUGAGGCUCAACCUCAGAACUGCCUCCGAUACUGGCAAUCUCGAGUUCGGAAGAGGUCGGUGGAACAGCUAGUGUAGAGGUGAAAUUCGUAGAUAUUAGCUAGAACACCAGUGGCGAAGGCGGCCGACUGGUCCGAUACUGACGCUGAGGUGCGAAAGCGUGGGGAGCAAACAGG
This 253-nucleotide ribosomal RNA is filed under the name uncultured bacterium. RNAcentral's name for it is "partial 16S ribosomal RNA". It matches the Rfam family "Bacterial small subunit ribosomal RNA", at positions 524 to 776 of the family's 1533-position model. The record is from RNAcentral.